GUAGCAAUAUUCUGAAGUCGGAGUGGCGCAAGGGUGCGUAACACGUGGGUAAUUUGCCAUGAAGCCCGGAAUAACUCGCUGAAAAGCGAGCUAAUACCGGAUGUGAUCGUCGGGAGGCAUCUCUCGACCCUUAAAGCUGGGGACCGUAAGGCCUGGCACUUCUUGAUAAGCCCGCGGCCUAUCAGCUAGUUGGUGAGGUAACGGCUCACCAAGGCUAAGACGGGUAGCUGGUCUGAGAGGACGACCAGUCACACUGGAACUGAGACACGGUCCAGACACCUACGGGUGGCAGCAGUCGAGAAUUUUUCUCAAUGGGCGAAAGCCUGAAGGAGCGACGCCGCGUGGGGGAUGAAUGGCUUCGGCCCGUAAACCCCUGUCAUUUGCGAACAAACCUUGUUAUUUAAAAGAUGACGAGCUGAUUGUAGCGAAAGAGGAAGGGACGGCUAACUCUGUGCCAGCAGCCGCGGUAAUACAGAGGUCCCAAGCGUUGUUCGGAUUCACUGGGCGUAAGGGUGCGUAGGUGGUCGGGUAAGUCUGAUGUGAAAUCUCCAAGCUCAACUUGGAAACCGCAUCGGAUACUAUUCGGCUGGAGGGUUGGAGGGGGGACUGGAAUGCUUGGUGUAGCAGUGAAAUGCGUAGAUAUCAAGCGGAACACCAGUGGCGAAGGCGAGUCCCUGGACAACUCCUGACACUGAGGCACGAAAGCUAGGGGAGCAAACAGGAUUAGAUACCCUGGUAGUCCUAGCCGUAAACGGUGCGCAUUUGCUGUAAAAGGAAUCGACCCCUUUUGUGGCGAAGCUAACGCGUUAAAUGCGCCGCCUGGGAAGUACGGUCGCAAGAUUAAAACUCAAAGAAAUUGACGGGGGCCUGCACAAGCGGUGGAGUAUGUGGCUUAAUUCGAUGCAACGCGAAGAACCUUACCUGGGCCUUGACAUGUAUCUAGUAG
RNAcentral lists this ribosomal RNA (946 nucleotides) under uncultured bacterium. RNAcentral's name for it is "bacterial SSU rRNA". It matches the Rfam family "Bacterial small subunit ribosomal RNA", at positions 76 to 998 of the family's 1533-position model. The record is from RNAcentral.